This 98-nucleotide small RNA is filed under the name Ewingella americana. RNAcentral describes it as "RtT sRNA". It matches the Rfam family "RtT RNA", at positions 21 to 115 of the family's 130-position model. From Rfam's summary of the family: This family represents a bacterial cis-regulatory element known as RtT RNA. The exact function of RtT is unknown although it is thought that it may be involved in changing the cellular response in relation to amino acid starvation. The record is from RNAcentral. Lineage: Bacteria; Pseudomonadati; Pseudomonadota; Gammaproteobacteria; Enterobacterales; Yersiniaceae.
GCUGAGCGAACGGUUCGAGACCAAAGGCUCGAGCCGAGCGAAGCGAGACAGCGUUGCAAAGCAACGACCCGAAGGGCGAGGCCAGAGGCCGAGUAAUC